Molecule: ribosomal RNA, 373 nt
Filed under: uncultured microorganism
Description: bacterial SSU rRNA
Rfam family: Bacterial small subunit ribosomal RNA
Source: RNAcentral
GCGCACCAGGCGCGAAUCUUCCCCAAUGGACGAAAGUCUGAGGGAGCGACGCCGCGUGAAUGAAGAAGCCCUUCGGGGUGUAAAAUUCUUUUCUUUAGGAAAAAUUCGUGAUGGUACUAAAGGAAUAAGGGGCCGCCAAACUCGUGCCAGCAGCGGGCGGUAAUACGAGUGCCCCGAGCGUUAUCCGGAAUUACUGGGCGUAAAGCGGCUAAAAGGCGGUUUGAUAAGUCAGACGUCAAAUCUCCGAGCUCAACUCGGAGCCGGUGUCUGGAAACUGUCUAACUUGAGGACGGAAGAGGCAAGCGGAAUGGCUGGUGUAGCAGUAAAAUGCGUUAAUAGUCAGCUAGAACACCGAAUGGCGAAGGCAGCUUGC